UUCACAUAUUGCUGAAGCCUGGCUUGGAGAAUUUUGAGCAUUACUUUACUAGUGUUGAGCACGUCACACAUAUACAAUGGAAUAUUACUCAGCCAUUAAAAGGGAUGAAGCAAUGCCGUUUGCAGCGACAUGAAUGGACCUGGUGAUCAUCAUACUGAACAAAGGGCUGCAAUGCAGGAGACUGCCUGCAAUCCAGGUGACCUACAUUCGAUCC
Molecule: long non-coding RNA, 214 nt
Organism: Bubalus bubalis (water buffalo)
Lineage: Eukaryota; Metazoa; Chordata; Mammalia; Artiodactyla; Bovidae
Exons: 3
Source: RefSeq, a predicted model, not a curated record